UUAAUAAUUAUAUUAAAAAUAAUUAUAAAAUUUAAAUUUUUUAGUAAUGUUUAAUAAAAAAAUAAUUUUAAUUAUAGUUUAAUAGUAUUGUGAAAGAAAAUUGAAAUAUAUUGAAAAAUUUUUAUAUAAAAAGAAAAUUUAAUUUAUUGUACCUUUUGUAUCAGGGUUUAUCAAAUAAAAAUUAUAAAUAUAUAAUUUUCUCGAUUUUAAAAGAUUUAAUAAAUUAUAAAAGUUAUUGUAAUAAAAUUAUUUUAAAUAAUUUAUUAGAAAUGAAAUGUUAUUCGUUUUUAAAGGUAUCUAGUUUUUUUAGAAAUAAAUUUAAUUUAUAAAUAUUUAAUUAUAAAAUUAAUUUUUAAUUUUAUAAAUUAUAUAUUUUACUAUUAAAUGGGAUAAGCUAUUUAAUAAAAUUUUAAAAAUAAUUAAAUUAUUUUAAUAAAUAUAUGCUUAUAACUAGCAAUUAUUAAUAAUUAUGUUAUAAUUUAUUUUAAUCAUAUUAUGAUUUAAUAUAUUUUAAAUUUUUAUAAAAAUAUUUAUUUAAAUUUUAAAAAUAAAAAAAUAAUGAUAAAAUUAGUAUAUUUAUUUGUAAAAAUAAAAAUUAAAUGAAAGGUUUAGUAUAAAGAAUUCGGCAAAAUUAAUAUUCACCUGUUUAACAAAAACAUGUCUUUUAGAAUUUAAUUUAAAGUCUAACCUGCCCACUGAAUUUUUAAAUGGCCGCAGUAUCCUAACUGUGCAAAGGUAGCAUAAUCAUUAGUCUUUUAAUUGAAGGCUGGAAUGAAUGGUUGAAUGAAAUAUUAACUGUUUCAUAUAAAUUUAUAAUAGAAUUUUAUUUUUUAGUCAAAAAGCUAAAAUAUUAUUAAAAGACGAGAAGACCCUAUAAAUCUUUAUACUUAGAAAAUUUUAGUUAUUUAGAUUAAUUAAAUUAUAAUUUUUAUAAGUAUUUUAUUGGGGUGAUAUUAAAAUUUAAUAAACUUUUAAUUUAUUUUAUACAUAAAUUAAUGAAUUUUUGAUCCAUUUAUUAUGAUUAAAAAAUUAAGUUACUUUAGGGAUAACAGCGUAAUUUUUUUAGAGAGUUCAUAUUGAUAAAAAAGAUUGCGACCUCGAUGUUGGAUUAAGAUAUAGUUUUAGGUGCAGCAGCUUAAACUUAAAGUCUGUUCGACUUUUAAAUUCUUACAUGAUCUGAGUUCAGACCGGCGUAAGCCAGGUUGGUUUCUAUCUUUAAUAAAUAAAUAUAUUUUAGUACGAAAGGACCAAAUAUAUAAAUUAUAAAUUUUUAAUAAUGAAUAUUAAUAAUAU
Molecule: ribosomal RNA, 1293 nt
Filed under: Megaselia spiracularis
Lineage: Eukaryota; Metazoa; Arthropoda; Insecta; Diptera; Phoridae
Description: 16S ribosomal RNA
Rfam family: Archaeal large subunit ribosomal RNA (bases 1045-1204)
Source: RNAcentral